CCUAUCUUUAUUCCUAUACCUCCUAUAGCAUGUAACAAUGUCAGUCAAUUGCAUAUAAACAUUAAUGCAAGUGAUUCUUGUUAUAAAAAUAAAACCAGUUAUUUUUCUUUGAAAAUUAUCUGGCUUUGUGUAAUUUUGAAGAUUCAUGAUCUAUUGGUGCAAGUUUGAAUGACGUGCAACAGAAUUGGAUUACUAUGGUUAUCAAAAGGUUUGCUGUGUGUUGAUUUUCUUAUUUAUUUGGAGAGCUUGGUCAUAAUGAUUGAAUUGUGUUAACCAUUUUAUGUACGCUUGUCCCCAACUAGGAAAUAUGUUUUUCAUUGUAUAUGUCCCUCUUUAGGUAUUCUCGUCUAAUGGUGGCUGCAGAGUUUGAUGAUAAAGUUUGAGGCAAGUGUUGAAUCACUCGUCUAUGUAGUUGAAACUUUUAACCAUAUUCAUGAAGGCAAAAAGCUUUGUCUUCAUGAUCAACUUAACUAGUUCAAAUAAAGGUCAAGGCAAGCCAAUGUCUAUGCAUGCUCACUAAAAUUGUAUUAUGUUGCUGAAUAAAUUCGCAUAAUCUUCUAAUUAGAAAUUUCUUUUGUUUGGAAAACCCUGUAAUUGCUGUAUGGUGUGUAAUUCAGCUACCUAAUUUAUUGAAUAGGACCAUGAAUGGAGGCAAGC
RNAcentral lists this unclassified non-coding RNA (657 nucleotides) under Hevea brasiliensis (rubber tree). The record is from RNAcentral. Lineage: Eukaryota; Viridiplantae; Streptophyta; Magnoliopsida; Malpighiales; Euphorbiaceae.